CCCGCCUCCUCCAAGGUGACCGUCCCCCACCGCCCCGAACCCGGCCCGCCCUCUGCCCUCAGCUCUCUCCACUGAAUUUGGAGACCCAAUAGGAGAAUAACAGCUGAAUACCUGAUACUGUUUACUUUACAGCGGCGGGACAGGAGGGAUUUUUAACCUGUCAAGCUCCAACUUCUAAAAGGUGGCCAAAACAAUCCUUUAUGUUCAUAUUAUAAAUUUUAUUGGUCCAAGUUUGCUCAAAAGUGAUGAUGGAAAGAUUUCUGAAACAAAAAGUAUCUACAGCAGCUUUUGAAGAAGCAUCCCUUUGUUCAAAACAGGAAAAUCCAUAUGAAGGCACUCAAUUGACGGAGUAGGUUUAAAUCCAGCAGGUGGAAUGGACUUGCAACCAGUAGCAAAAAUAAGAAUGUC
Long non-coding RNA from Odocoileus virginianus texanus, 408 nucleotides. RefSeq lists it as uncharacterized. Lineage: Eukaryota; Metazoa; Chordata; Mammalia; Artiodactyla; Cervidae. The record is from RefSeq and is a predicted model, not a curated record.